UUUACUAAGUUUAUAAGCUUGAACUUAAUUUUACAAAUUAAAAUAUAAAACCUGUUAAAG
This 60-nucleotide transfer RNA is filed under the name Romanomermis iyengari. Its description in RNAcentral is "tRNA-Val". The record is from RNAcentral. Lineage: Eukaryota; Metazoa; Nematoda; Enoplea; Mermithida; Mermithidae.